GCAUAUGGAGGUUUCAAGGCUAGGGGUCAAAUUGAAGUUACAGCUACCAGCCUACGCCACAGCCGCAGCAAUGCAGGAUCUGAGCCACAUCUCUGAUCUACACCACAGCUCAUGGCAACACCGGAUCCUUAACCCAUUGAUCAAGGCCAGGGAUAGAACCCGUGUCCUCAGGGAUCAUAGUUGGGUUUGUUAACCCCUGAGCCAUGACAGGAACUCCCUCCAGGAAUCUUUUAAAGAGGCUUCCCUGAAGCAGCACAGGCUGUGGUUUGAGAAAAGUGAUGAAAUGAAGCUUUCCUUUCUGUUGCUGAAGGGGAGGGUUUUGUAAGGCACUUCAGUUUUUAGGGCAGAGGUUUGUUGAACAAAGUGCUCCCCCCAGAUGGGCUGAGGCUCAGGAUGUCUCUGUCCCCUUCCUGGGAGAGUCCAGGGCAGGGGGGUGUCGGGUCCCAGGCUCUGUCCCCCUUGUUUCUCCUCCCCACUUCCGGGUGGAGGACUCCAACCAGGAGGGGGUGGGGGGCCCACGUGAGCACCAUUCCCUGCAUCCUAGGACGCAGGCUGGCCAAGGCCCUCACCACCUCUUCCCCUCAGUAUCAGGAGACGCUGUGCCCCAGCAGCAGAAGCGGGCAGGCGGGGAGGGGCAGGGCACCAUGAGCAGGUAAAGGAUCACCGGUUGUGGUGGGCCCUGGGCGGCUCUGCUGCAGCAGGGUCACCAGGACGCUAGUGCACGUCUCUGGGCCCUGUGAAGUGUGACGACAUGUGGGCACGAGCUCUCUGACCCGGAAGUACCUGCCUUGAAUCUUGGACAUAGAGUUUUCUAGAAUCAGGCUGGCAUGGUGUUUGGCUUCUGGGCAUGAAUGCAGUGUGUCAAUGUGGUGGUCUUUUGGGGGGGGGGGCCCUGUGCUCAUCCUUGUGCCCUUUCUCUUGAGAAUUCUCUCCAAAGACCCUUCUUCUUCCACCUGGGCUGCUUCCUUCUGUCCUUGACCCCUCCUGGGGGGACCUGAUCUAAAGCCAAAUCACAUGAAUUAAGGGGGCUGAUUAAUUUAAAGCCAGUCUUACGACAUAGAGUGUUUGACUCAAAAUAGCGGGGUCAGUAAGGAGGAGUGCGUGCCAUGGGAAACACUGAGGAAAAAUACCCCCUUUAUAUGGCAUUGCACUGUGUUUAGUAGGAGGAACGAAGUAAGGCUGGCAGGUACCCAGGGUCCCUCAUUUCAGCCCCUUGGGGGAGGCAGGAGGAAGGGCUGAGAGUUGUUGUUAGAGCGGAUGGCCACUAGAGGGUGUCGCAGCACCAGUAGGGCCCACCUGCUGCUUUCUGGAGGCCCCUCCAGGCUCAGAACUGUGGAUGUCAGGGGAUGGGCAGAAUCCCAAGGGUGUGCCCCAAGAAAAGGGUUUGGUACCCUCUGGCCCAAACUGUCUCACCUCAGAGAGGGGCCAUAGUUCUGCCUUCAGAUAUGUGGGUGACUUCCAGCCUGAUCUGGUGGCCCUUUGGCCAGACAGUUGGACAGGCCGUCUGGGGUCUGACUGCUAUCUGGUUGUCCANAGGCAGAACUCUGGACUCAUACAUACCUGGCUUGAAUCCUGGGUGUGCUGUUUUCUAGAAUCAGGCUUGCAAGGGGUUUGGCAUCAGGAAAGCUGGGCUGGUGGUCGUGAAUGGAGGGCGUGAAAGGGGUGCUAUUUUGGUGGGGGGGCUAUGCUUCUCCCUGUGCCCUUUCUCUUGAAAUUGAUCCCCAGCUUCCUUUCUCCCUUCCAUCUGAAAUCCUCCUCCUCUGCCCAACUCCUGUUAGGGCGGAAAUACCUAAAACCUGGUGACGUGAGGAAAGCGUGUGGGGAUAUUGAUUUAAAGCUGGGUCCCAGAGCUGAAGGGCCCACAUGGAUUUAAAGUCUGCUCAUGUGAAUUAAAAAGCAGGGCAGCUGCGUGGUGUCAGGCUGUGGGGUGAGUGCCCUGGCGGACCGAGAAAGCCAGGCCCCCGUCUGCAGGGCCUUUCAUUGUGCUUAUGUUAGAGCACCAUCGACUGAACCUCUACAAUACUUCCAUUCCAGCUCAGCCUCUUCCUCCGUUGCCAGACUUGUUGCAAGGAAGCUUCCUAAAACCAAGUAAUGGGAAGAGAGGCUGGGUGGUCCUUGGUUACAUGCCGGGUCCCAUGGCUGAAUGAUGCCGAUCGAAUCUGGGUCUGCUCACAUGACUUACAAAGUGGGGUCCUUGAUUUGAGGAUGCGGGGGAGAUGUCGUGUGGAGUGAGGGUCCUGGCCGACUGUGAGAGAGUCAUGCCCCGACCCGCAGUGUAUCUCAGUGCGCCCGAGAGGGGGAGGAGCAAGGACAUCAGCCUGGCAAGUGGCCCACGCCAGUGCAGACCAGGCUUCUGCUGUGGGAGACAGAGGCAGGGCUGAGAGGUGCUGUUAGAGCACAUUUCUGCCAGAGGGCGCCAGCGCACAGCAGGGCCCUUGCAGCUCCCUGUUAGCAUCUCCAGGCUCAGAAGGGGAGGGGAGAUGGACCCAGCGAAGCUCAAGGAGGUGCAGGAGCCUGGUGUGUUUGUGUUCUUGGUGCCUCUGACCCUGUGGCCCAAUUCGCCUCACCUCAGUGAGGGGCAGAGUCUGCUGUCACAUGGCUAAUUCAAUUCCUCCCCCAAAUGAGGGAGAUGGGCAGGCUGUCUGUGGUCUGAGUGUCCUUUUCUUGUUUGCAGGCAGAACUCUGGACCCAGAAACACCUGGCGUGAAUGUUGGAUGUUCAGUUUUCUAGAAUCAGCCUGGUGCGGAGUUUGGCUUCUGGAACGCUGGACAGGCUAGGGCCUCAGUGCCAGGCCAUUUCCUUACCAGUAAAAGGCCGAUCUGUAGUUAGCAAUAGUGUAGAAGUGUCGGUAGUCACGGUGCGGGCCGUGGUUCACCACAGCGCGCAGAGCCCUAUCUAUGGAGCAUGUAGGGCCUCAGUGAGGGACCAUCGAGCAAUAUUUGGGGACAGUUCAAGGCCUUAGUUAGCUUCAGCACAGGGACACAGUUAGGCACUCGUAGUGUGCUUUAGGGACAGUGCAGGGCUUCGGUUAGCAGUUGUGUAGACCCUUAGAUAGGCACAGUGCAGGGCCUUGGGGACAGUUUAGAUCUUUACUUGUUAUAGUGCAGAACCUUAAUAAUAGAGAUUGCGAGGCCUUAGUUUGGGAGCGUGCAGGGCCUUAGGGAAGGUGUGGAACCAUAGUUAGGACUUUGCGGGGCCCUUGUUAGGGACAGUGCAGGGCCUUUGUUAAAAACAGUUGAGGGCCUUAGUUAGAGAUAGCGCAGGGCUUUAGUUAGUCCCAGUGAAGGGCCUUAGGAAUAGUGCCUCAUCUGAGUUAGGGAGAGUGCAGGGCCUUAGUUAGGAUCAGCCCGUGCCAGAGUUAGGGAGAGUGCAGAUCUUUGGUUAGAAAUAGUGCACAACCUCAGAUAGUGACCGUUGAAGGCCUUAGUUAGGGCCAGUGCAGUGUCUUUGUUCGCUUCAGUGCAGGGAUAUAGUUAGGCAGAGUGCAGGGCUACUUAGGGACAGUGUAGGGACUUAGGGACAUUGCAGGGCCCUGAAUAAGAACAUUUCAGGGGUUAAGUUAGGGGCAGUUCAGGGCCUUAGUUCAUGAGAGUGAGGUACUUAGGGACAGUGCAGAACCAUAGUUAGGAAUUUCCUGGGCCCUAUUUAGGGACAAUGCAGCAUUUAGUUAGGCCUUAGUGAAGGACAGUGCAGGCCCUUUGUUAAAAACAGUUCAGGGCCUUAGGGAUAGUGCAGGGCCUGAAUUAGGGAGAGUCUACGACCUUAAUUAGGGGCAAUGCAGAGCUUUAGGGACAGUGCAUGGCCAUACUUAGGCUCAGUGCAGGGCCUUAGGUAUAUUGCAGGGCCUGAGUUAGCGACAGUUCACAUCUUAGUUUGCAGUAAUGCAUAACCACACAUAGUGACAGUAUAGGGUCUUAGGGCCAGUGCGAGGCCUUAAUUAGGGACAGUUCAGGGUCUUAGCUUCAAUACAGGAUCAUGGUUAGGCUCAGUGCAGGGACUUAGGGACAGUGCAGGGACUUAGGGACAGUGCAUAACUAUAGUUAGGACUGUGCAGGGCCCUAGUUAGGGACAGUUUUGGGUUUUAUUUACUGACAGUGAAAGGCCAUAAUUAAGGACUGUAUGGAGGCUCUUUUAGGGACAGUUUAGGGCUUUACCUAGGGCCAUAGCUGGGCAAUGCAGACAUAGGUAUAGUGUAAGGUUACUCAGGACAGUGAAGGGCCUUAGUUAGAAAUAGUACAGGGCUGGGAGUUCCCACUGUGGUGCAGUGGAAACGAAUCCAACUAGUAUCCAUGAGGAUGUGGGUUCAAUUCCUGGCUUGCUCAGUGGGUCAUCGAUCCGGCAUUGCCAUGAGCUGUGGUGUAGGUCGCAGAUGUGGCUUGGAUCCUGCGUGGCUGUGGCUGUGGUGUAGGCUGGCAGCUGUAGCUCUGAUUUGAUCCCUAGCCUGGGAACUUCCAUGUGCCAUGAAUGUGGUCCUAAAAUGGAAAAAAAAAAGGGGGGGGGACUAGUACAGGGCUUUAGGUGUAGGGCCUUAGUUGGGCACAGUGCAGUGCUUGUUAUAGCGCGAGGCCUUAUUAAUGACAGAGUAGAUCUUCAGUUGGCGAUAAGGCAGAAUCAUAGGUAGUCACAGUGCAGGGCCUUGGCUUCAGUACAGGGAAAGCGGCACCACGUGAGGUUACUUAGGGGCUGGGGAGGCUGUGAAACAUGGGAGCGUGAAACCACUCUGAUGAUGAAAGACACAGACACACUUGGGUUUGAAAGAAAUGCUUUGGAUGAGAAAUGAAACCAUGCCAAGGUUUUUACUUGACUUGAGGCUCCAGACGAUUAAACAUUUAAAAAGAACACACACACAGGCACCUACACAAUCUUCAGUAUAUUGUUUGGCCAUAGAGGUUUGUGAAUUUCAGCCAUGUGGAUAAUGAUGAAGACACAGAAUUUAUUCAGAAGCAAGCCGUUGCUGGACGGAUUACCCGAGUGAUGUGAGGUUCUGCGUGUGUGUGUGUGGGGCGGGGGCAGUAAACAGCUAAGCAGAGAGACAUGGAGAGAGAAUUCUGCCGCCUUCCCUCCGCAUCACCGUUGUUAAAAUGAACUCUGCUGAUGAUAAUCUGGGUCCCUCUCUUCAUCCUUCCAGGGCUAGAACCCCUUAACGUUUCGGGGAGUGUGACUGUCCUGGUGCACACGCUGCCUGCGAGCCCGUGGGGAGCUUGAGGGCACUCCCAAAGAAGGCCUGAAAGGGGCUCGGGGCUCCCGCUCCUCCUCCUAAGCCGAUGCCCUGGUGAGCUGGGGAGCAAGUUGGGCAGCUUUAUUCCUCGCCGGGGGCUGCUUCAAGGUCUCCCGGGGAAGCUCUUCCUGUACAUCCGCAUCCUGCAGAGGCCCUGCCUCUGGCAGAAUGACCGCAGCUGCCAUGAUUUCCUCUAGGAGGCUUGAUGAGCCCCGGAAAGCCGAGGGCUGGUGCCGCUGCUGGACCAGGGGAGCGGACGGCUCUUUGCUUGAGGGUGUCUGCUGCUGGGGAGAGACGGGCAGGUCGGCCUGUGCAGGCUGCAGCAUCGCCCCUUGCCCGGGAUGCCAGCUGGCACCCAGCGUGGGAGGUGCAGCGCUGAACUGGGUUCUGUGGCAGCAAAGGCUGCGCAGGACUGGCGAAGUCAGACUAAGGGACAAGCGGGAGGCAGUCUGCUGCCUGGGCGGUGUGCAGGUUUGUCUGCUGCCUUGAUCCUGCGAGGGAAAGGGUUGGGGCUAGAGGAUAGGGUUGGGGGUUUGGGUUCGGGCUAGCGUUACGGUUAGGGUUAGGGAGUUAGGGUUUCGUUAGGGUUGGUUUUAAUUUUUUUUUUUGUCUUUUUGUCUUUUUUGUUGCUGUUGUUGCUAUUUCUUGGGCCGCUUCCGCGGCAUAUGGAGGUUCCCAGGCUAGGGGUCCAAUCGGAGCUGUAGCCACCGGCCUACGCCAGAGCCACAGCAAUGCAGGAUCCGAGCCGCGUCUGCAACCCACACCACAGCUCACGGCAACGCCGGAUCGUUAACCCACUGAGCAAGGGCAGGGACCGAACCCGCAACCUCAUGGUUCCUAGUCAGAUUCGCCAACCACUGCGCCACGACGGGAACUCCCAGGGUUGGUUUUUUGGUUGUGGAUUGUAUCAGUUGUUGAGAUGGAAAUUUUGAGCCCAGCCUGUCCCGGCUUUGGGGUCUGGAUCAAGUGCCUGUGGGCUGUGCACGGGAGGGGGUGCACGGUGCGAUUUUGGUGAGCAGCUGCGCGCAUCCCUGUGCUCUUGCUCUCAAGAGGUCUCCUGAAAUGCCGUCCUUUUCUUUCCACGUGAGCCUCUGUGGGUCUCUGCAUACACGUGGUGUGAAGACCUGCUCAAACGCCAGGUCCGGGGAAUGAAUACCGG
RNAcentral lists this long non-coding RNA (6377 nucleotides) under Sus scrofa (pig). Its description in RNAcentral is "lncRNA (ENSSSCG00055024655.1)". Lineage: Eukaryota; Metazoa; Chordata; Mammalia; Artiodactyla; Suidae. The record is from RNAcentral.